RNAcentral lists this transfer RNA (72 nucleotides) under Camelus bactrianus (Bactrian camel). It matches the Rfam family "tRNA". From Rfam's summary of the family: Transfer RNA (tRNA) molecules are approximately 80 nucleotides in length. Their secondary structure includes four short double-helical elements and three loops (D, anti-codon, and T loops). Further hydrogen bonds mediate the characteristic L-shaped molecular structure. tRNAs have two regions of fundamental functional importance: the anti-codon, which is responsible for specific mRNA codon recognition, and the 3' end, to which the tRNAs corresponding amino acid is attached (by aminoacyl-tRNA synthetases). tRNAs cope with the degeneracy of the genetic code in two manners: having more than one tRNA (with a specific anti-codon) for a particular amino acid; and 'wobble' base-pairing, i.e. permitting non-standard base-pairing at the 3rd anti-codon position. RNAcentral also lists the same sequence under 2 other names. The record is from Rfam by way of RNAcentral. Lineage: Eukaryota; Metazoa; Chordata; Mammalia; Artiodactyla; Camelidae.
GAGGGUAUAGCUCAGUGGCAGAGCACAUGCUUAGCAUGCACGAAGUCCUAGGUUCAAUCCCCAGUACCUCCC